AACGCAAAUUGCACUCUCUUCGGAGAGUAUGCCUGUUUGAGGGUCAGUAUUAAUAAAAAUCGGCGUGCUGCUCUUUUGUGACGUUCCGGAGUUUGAGUUAUCUUAACUGUUCUGGGUUUUAAGAGGCUUAAAAUUGACCUUUUUUUGUGCAUUUUAGACGUACAUAAAUUUUUUUUUUUUAUUCGUCUAUCUUUAAUGUCAAAAUCUAUUAGAUGCGACCAUAUCAUGUGGUUUCGUGUCCAUAAAUUUUUCAUGAUUUGACCUCAAAUCAGGUAAGAACACCCGCUGAACUUAA
This 295-nucleotide unclassified non-coding RNA is filed under the name uncultured Rhizophagus. Its description in RNAcentral is "sequence contains ITS2". The record is from RNAcentral. Lineage: Eukaryota; Fungi; Glomeromycota; Glomeromycetes; Glomerales; Glomeraceae.